RNAcentral lists this ribosomal RNA (491 nucleotides) under Gillia altilis. RNAcentral describes it as "partial 16S ribosomal RNA". It matches the Rfam family "Bacterial large subunit ribosomal RNA", at positions 1816 to 2597 of the family's 2925-position model. Lineage: Eukaryota; Metazoa; Mollusca; Gastropoda; Littorinimorpha; Lithoglyphidae. The record is from RNAcentral.
CGUUCUUUGAUUAAAAGUAAUAAAGAAUCGAGCCUGCCCAGUGAUUUAUUUAACGGCCGCGGUACUCUGACCGUGCAAAGGUAGCAUAAUCAUUUGCCCUAUAAUUGAGGGCUAGUAUGAACGGUUUGUCAAAAGUGAUCCUGUCUCCAUAAAAUUUUAUAAAAUUUGGUCUCUUGGUGAAGAAACCUAGAUAUAAUUAAUAGACAAGAAGACCCUAUCGAGCUUAAAAAAAUUUUAUUAAAUAAUACAAACUACUAAUAAAAAAUUUUAGUUGGGGCGACUAAGGAACAACAAAAGCUUCCUUAAAAAAUAAAACCUUAUAAGGAAUGAUCCAUAAUAAUGAUUAAAAAAAUUAGUUACCGUAGGGAUAACAGCAUAAUCUUUUUUAAGAGUUCAUAUCGAAAAAAAGGUUUGUGACCUCGAUGUUGGACUAGGAUAACCAAAAGAUGCAGAAGUCUUUUAAGGUUGGUCUGUUCGACCAAUAAAAUCCU